AUGAUGAGAGCUGAUCAAGAAGUAAAAGCAAGGAGCUCUGAAGAAGCAAAGCAAGGGCCUGAUUAUGCAGAAACAACUAAUACAGAUGGCACUAGUGGCAGCGAUGAUUCAGAGUUUGAAGCAGAGCAGCUAAAAGAGGUGCAACAACAAACAGAAAACUAUGAAAUAGAUAACAGUGCUAGAUUUGCAGAAUCAAAUGAAGAGGAUCAGAAUGAAACUUUUAGCCCAUCAGGUAAGGAAAAAAAUGCACAAACUAGUAAGGAGCAGAUGAAAGAUGAAAACAAGUUAUCUCAAGAAGAUAUAGAAUUCUUCCUUGAGAAUGACAGUAUUAAAAAGGCAAUUAAAUUAAGCCAAGAAGAUGAGAAGAAACCCAUGCCAGCCCUUGGCAUGACAUUUGAAACUGAUGCUCAUGCACACAGAUUCUACAAUGAAUAUUCAGCUAUUGGUGGGUUCUCAAUUCAGAAAGCUGCAAACUAUCACUGCCAUAAGAAAGAUGCACACAACAACAAAAUGACGAGGUUCACUAUGAAGUGUAACAGAUCUGGUAAACCUAGGAUAAGGACAAAACCAACAGCUGCAGGAGCAAAAAGGAGAAAGUAUAAGAGUGAUAAAAAUGCACCAACUGAGCUAGAGAAUACGACAGACAGAAGAAGAAACUACACAAUUAAAACAGGUUGUCAAGCUCAGAUGGCUGUUACCUGGAAAUUCGAUACAGCACAGUGGGUGGUGACAAGGCUUAUCAUUGAGCACAAUCAUGACCUGCAUCCACCAGGGGAAGUCAGGUUCCUCAGGUCACACAAAUAUAUCACUGACCAAGAGAAGGACUUGAUUAGAACUUGCAAACGAGUGAACAUACCAACUAGAAAGAUUAUGGCAAUAAUGGCAUUCUUUCGAGGAAGAGGUCUUUCUUCGCUGCCAUAUACAGCAAAACAGGUUAGCAACAUGGGCAUGAAAAUGAGAAGAGAUAACGGAUUGAAUGACAUGAUGCAAGUGGUCUCAUUUUUUGAACAGAAAAAAUCAGAAGAUCCUUUGUUCUUCUACUCAUUCAAAACAGAUCCAGCUAAGAAUGUCAUGCAUAUAUUUUGGGCAGACGACACUGGUAUAAGGAACUAUCAACAAUAUGGUGAUCUCCUAAGUUUUGACACAACUUACAAAACAAACAAGUAUAACCUGAAGUUUGCUCCAUUUGUGGGUGUAAAUGGACACGGAGACAACUGCCUCUUUGCAUGUGGUUUCAUACAAGAUGAGAAGAAAGAAACUUUUGAGUGGUUGUACAAAACUUUUCUGAAGUGCAUGGGAGGAAAAGCUCCAAAAUCUGUGAUAACAGAUCAAGAUGCAGCUAUGAAAAAGGCAGUUCCUAAAUGUUUUCCUAGUUGCACGCACAGGAACUGUUUGUUUCACAUUCUAACAAAAGCGCAGAACAAAGCUAGGAGAACAUUUGCAAGGAACGAACAUUUGAAUGCUCAGUUUCAUGACAUAAUCCUAAACUAA
This 1491-nucleotide ribosomal RNA is filed under the name Triticum aestivum (bread wheat). Its description in RNAcentral is "partial small subunit ribosomal RNA". Lineage: Eukaryota; Viridiplantae; Streptophyta; Magnoliopsida; Poales; Poaceae. The record is from RNAcentral.